Molecule: ribosomal RNA, 325 nt
Filed under: Kwonkan sp. MYG458
Lineage: Eukaryota; Metazoa; Arthropoda; Arachnida; Araneae; Anamidae
Description: partial 12S ribosomal RNA
Source: RNAcentral
ACUAACAGUAAAAAGGUAAUACCCAUGGGAAAACCUUUACCCCUUGGCGGCCUUUCCCCUUCUCAAAGGAACUUGUCAAAUAACCGAAAUCACCCGAUCGAUCUUACUUUUCUUCAGUUUUUAUACCGUCGUCUUAAGAAUUCAUUCAAAAAUCUUAUUCCUAACUGGAAAACCCACCCAAGUCAGAUCAAGGUGAAGCGCAUAGACUAGAAUUGAUGAGUUAUCCAUAAAAAAUAUUUAAGGACUUUGCCAUAACAAACAAACAAAUAAAGAUUUGAAAGUACCCCAGGAUUAUAAUUCCCAAGGAAAAUAGCAAAAAAGGUGC